Molecule: unclassified non-coding RNA, 248 nt
Filed under: Hevea brasiliensis (rubber tree)
Lineage: Eukaryota; Viridiplantae; Streptophyta; Magnoliopsida; Malpighiales; Euphorbiaceae
Source: RNAcentral
GAAAAAUAGCUGAUCAGUGUUGAAUCAAUUCGGGUGGUAAACUCGUGUUUUGGAAAACCAUUAAACUCUUGUUUGUCUACCAAGAAAAGAAAUUAAAUCAGAAGGAAAUGAUGUGUAUAUCUGUGUGCGCGUGUAUCUAUAUACUUGUUUUUUGAAAAGUGAAAACCAAAUGCCUUAAAUUAUGCCAAAACUGGUUUUUGGAUGAGUUGAUGAAUGGGGUUUUUCUCUUUUUUCCAAAUUGUCCUUCU